RNAcentral lists this ribosomal RNA (801 nucleotides) under uncultured bacterium. RNAcentral's name for it is "bacterial SSU rRNA". It matches the Rfam family "Bacterial small subunit ribosomal RNA", at positions 65 to 878 of the family's 1533-position model. The record is from RNAcentral.
GACGCAUACGGGGCUUGCCCUGUAUGACGGAGCGGCGAACGGGUGAGUAACACGUGAGCAACCUGCCCCGAAGACCGGGAUAGCCCGAGGAAACUCGGAUUAAUACCGGAUACCUUCCCACCUCCGCAUGGGGGAGUGAAGAAAUGCCUUUGUGCUUCGGGAUGGGCUCGCGGCCUAUCAGCUAGUUGGUGAGGUAACAGCUCACCAAGGCGUCGACGGGUAGCUGGUCUGAGAGGACGAUCAGCCACACUGGGACUGAGACACGGCCCAGACUCCUACGGGAGGCAGCAGCAGGGAAUAUUGCACAAUGGGCGAAAGCCUGAUGCAGCGACGCCGCGUGCGGGAUGAAGGCCUUCGGGUUGUAAACCGCUUUCAGGAGGGACGAAAAUGACGGUACCUCCAGAAGAAGGCCCGGCCAACUACGUGCCAGCAGCCGCGGUAAUACGUAGGGGCCAAGCGUUGUCCGGAUUUAUUGGGCGUAAAGGGCUCGUAGGCGGUUCAGUAAGUCAAUCGUGAAAUGUCGGGGCUCAACCCCGAGACUGCGGUCGAAACUGCUAUGACUAGGGUCCGGUAGAGGUGAGUGGAAUUCUCGGUGUAGCGGUGAAAUGCGCAGAUAUCGAGAGGAACACCAGUAGCGAAGGCGGCUCACUGGGCCGGUACCGACGCUGAGGAGCGAAAGCGUGGGGAGCAAACAGGAUUAGAUACCCUGGUAGUCCACGCCGUAAACGUUGAACACUAGGUGUGGCGGACUUAUCCACGUCUGCCGUGCCGACGCUAACGCAUUAAGUGUUCCGCCUGGGG